CCUGGCCCACUGCACGCUGGCUGACCUGCCCGCUCGCCCCACGGACAGCUGCUCCCCUCCUUCGCCCGGGACCCAAGGCCCGGCCCUUCGGCCGGAUGGAUGGACGGAUAUUGGCCCCGGCAGAUGGACAGGCGGACGGUCGGUCGGCUGCCGGCCGGCUCCUGGAACCUGGGCCCCUCCAUACUACCCAUUUCCUGGGCCCUCCCGAUCCAGGAAACAAGACGGGCGGGGCGUGGGCCGGCCAGGAGCCCUCAAGACAGUCCCGGGGCGCGGCGCCGCCCAGAGGGGGCAAGAACCCGUGUCCCGAGGUAGAGAGAAAAAGCAACGGAGACAAAGCAAGCCGACCCACCGCUCCAGCCCGAACGUGCACCCACCUCACCUCACUGUCUCGGGGGGCUUCUCCUGGCCUGAGAGGGACCUGGCGGGGAAGGCAUCCAAGCGGAAGCGGAAUCCUGACACCUUGGCUGCAGGUCCUGGGCCCCUCCCCGUCCCCGCCUCUGCCUGGACCCCUCCUCACCUCUCCUCCCUGCCCGCCCCACCCCACCCCCACCCCGGUGCCCCCAAGCCCGGCCACCCCCUCCCCCUCCCCCUAGCCCGGCCACCCCACACCCACCCCGACCCCUCCCCUGCCAGCCUCAGGGCCCUGCCUCCUGCCCCAGGCCCAGCCCAAGCCCCUUCCUUGCGAAAGCCGCCUCUUCAGCAGGGCCUCUCUCUGAUCUGUGUCAGGCUCUGGGACCCUAUGGGUCCCGAGUGCCUCUCUGGGUCUGGGGGUCGUAUCCCCUCCUCCCGCCACCUCUCCUUCCGUCUCUGGGUCUCUGUCAGUCUCCCUAGCUUCUUCUCUCUCCCUCUCUCUCCCUCUCUCUCUCUCCCUCUCUCUCUCUCUCUCUCUCUCUCUCUCUCUCUCUCUCUGCCCCCCACCCCCGCCUGCGCUGGCACGCGCACCCGCGUGCGCGUUUGUGUGUGUGUGUGUGUGUGUGUGUGUGUAUUGUGUGAGUGUGACAGAGCCAGAGAGCCAGAGAGAGACGUGGUGGGUGGGUGGGGGUGGCAUCUUGUGGGCAGGGGAACAGGCUCCGAGCCCGCCCGGCCGCCUGCCCAUCCUCAGCUCUCCCCGCCAGGAGCUCUCCGGUUUGACGACGAGGCCCCCCGCCCCGUGUCCUGGACUCCUGUGGGGAAGGGUGGCCUUGGAAAGGCCACCUGGCGGGCCUGAUGCCCUCCUGCUGCACGCUGGUCGCUCCGCGUGGGGUUGGCGCAAGGGUGAGGGGGCG
RNAcentral lists this long non-coding RNA (1265 nucleotides) under Sus scrofa (pig). RNAcentral describes it as "lncRNA (ENSSSCG00070018576.1)". Lineage: Eukaryota; Metazoa; Chordata; Mammalia; Artiodactyla; Suidae. The record is from RNAcentral.